RNAcentral lists this transfer-messenger RNA (352 nucleotides) under Aestuariivita sp. It matches the Rfam family "Alphaproteobacteria transfer-messenger RNA". Rfam says of the family: Bacterial tmRNA, also known as 10Sa RNA or SsrA, is named for its dual tRNA and mRNA-like properties. Its role is to liberate the mRNA from a stalled ribosome. To accomplish this part of the tmRNA is used as a reading frame that ends in a translation stop signal. Lineage: Bacteria; Pseudomonadati; Pseudomonadota; Alphaproteobacteria; Rhodobacterales; Paracoccaceae. The record is from RNAcentral.
UGUGUUUACGAACACGUUUCGUGCAACUAAAUUAUGAUUGUUCUUAAUGAACUAUGGACAUAAAUGCGCGCAGAAUAAGCGGAUCGGACCCGGGGGCGGUACCCGGCGGCUCCACCAAAACGCAAUCGCUUACGAUGAUUUUGGGGCCGAAACAGGAUCGACGAACGUCUAAAAGCGUUAGCUUUGUUCCGGCGGGGUACCACCGUUAUCGGUCCAAAAAGCAUAAUUGCAAACGACAAUCGUGCUCCGGUUGCAGUUGCAGCGUAAGCGGCAACAAUACCGACAUUCUAGUCCUUAUCGCCUAGCAGCAUAAGGCGGGGCUUGCCGGAGCCUGGCAACAGAAUCCGGCACU